UAGCCGCGGUAAUACGAAGGGUGCAAGCGUUAAUCGGAAUUACUGGGCGUAAAGCGUGCGUAGGUGGUGGUUUAAGUCCGUUGUGAAAGCCCUGGGCUCAACCUGGGAAUUGCAGUGGAUACUGGGUCACUAGAGUGUGGUAGAGGAUAGUGGAAUUUCCGGUGUAGCAGUGAAAUGCGUAGAGAUCGGAAGGAACAUCUGUGGCGAAGGCGACUAUCUGGGCCAACACUGACACUGAGGCACGAAAGCGUGGGGAGCAAACAGGAUUAGAUACCCCUGUAGUCCCUGUCUCUUAUACACU
Molecule: ribosomal RNA, 301 nt
Filed under: uncultured bacterium
Lineage: Bacteria
Description: partial 16S ribosomal RNA
Rfam family: Bacterial small subunit ribosomal RNA
Source: RNAcentral